GAUGAACGCUGGCGGCGUGCCUAAUACAUGCAAGUCGAGCGAAUGGAUUGAGAGCUUGCUCUUAUGAAGUUAGCGGCGGACGGGUGAGUAACACGUGGGUAACCUGCCCAUAAGACUGGGAUAACUCCGGGAAACCGGGGCUAAUACCGGAUAACAUUUUGAACCGCAUGGGUCGAAAUUGAAAGGCGGCUUCGGCUGUCACUUAUGGAUGGACCCGCGUCGGCUUAGCUGGUUGGUGAGGAAACGGCUCACCAAGGCAACGAUGCGUAGCCGACCUGAGAGGGUGAUCGGCCACACUGGGACUGAGACACGGCCCAGACUCCUACGGGAGGCAGCAGUAGGGAAUCUUCCGCAAUGGACGAAAGUCUGACGGAGCAACGCCGCGUGAGUGAUGAAGGCUUUCGGGUCGUAAAACUCUGUUGUUAGGGAAGAACAAGUGCUAGUUGAAUAAGCUGGCACCUUGACGGUACCUAACCAGAAAGCCACGGCUAACUACGUGCCAGCCGCCGCAGUAA
Molecule: ribosomal RNA, 515 nt
Filed under: uncultured bacterium
Lineage: Bacteria
Description: partial 16S ribosomal RNA
Rfam family: Bacterial small subunit ribosomal RNA
Source: RNAcentral